AAUUUCAAGAGUUGUGGAACCAAUGACAUCGGUUGCGGUGUAAAUCGAUGUCGUAUAUCUGGAGCAUAACAUAUGUAACAGAAAAUUAGUUGAUGCACUCUACCCUCUCUCUCUUUCUUUAGCACGCAACGGCCUUGCUUCGUGUAUGUGAUGAUCUCAAUUGUGAAAUUGAUUAGCGUCAUUUUGAUAAACUGGUGUUAUUCGAUAUUAGUAAGGCGUUUGAUACCGUCGCGUACCAUCGAUUACUCGUCAAGCUUCGGAUUUUUGGAUUUUCGCACGAGGUCCUGAAUUUUAUCUUCUCUUACCUAACUGGCAGAACCAAGGAAGUAUUCACUUGUUGAAAUCGCAAACCACUUUGGAAAGCAGUCGCUUUGAAAAUUGCUUGAAAUCAAAACGUAAUAAAAUGUUGAAUGAAAAAUGCCAUUUACAUGUUAAAUGCCAAUUUCUAAGGAUCAUUGAGGGGUUGGCGGAUUAUAUACGUGGAAUUUUCUAGACGCUGGUUGAAGCCUUGUCCAAAUCCUGUACCGUAACAACUCCGUGCUGUUGCCCCGCCGUUAGUCAUAAGAGUGUGGUGAUUAGUCAUGUAAAGGAAAUAACAGCUGCAAUGUUUCCCCACACAUUCUUGUUGUUGUUACGUUUAUGACUUUUCCUCGGUUACGGUUAGACUACCGCAUUAUCGGACACCCACGGAAGUUGACAUAUAAGUCAUCAUCGCUGGAAUGGGUUUUACACAGUUAUAUCGUGACAAAUUUUCAGAAUACUUGUUACGAGGCUUCAAUGCUCUGCAUGGAUUCUCCGCCAACUAUACAGUAAAAAUUGUUCAUGCUAUGUUAUAUGCGUAUUUAUACUCUAGAUUGGUAUACGUCCCUCGAAUUUUUAAAUUGGUUCGUAGGGACCGAGAUAUGUAACGCGAUCACCCUGAUUACGGGACCCGAACACGGUUGAGCCAAUUAUCGAAACACCUACAUAGAACGAGGUGAAAAUUUAUUACGAAAAUAAAACGGAGGCUAAGGUGUAUUCUGAUCUCGGUCUUGGCGGUUUUCACCAUGCACACGGUCUUCUACACAGGUUGGGAGCUCCCAUCCCUUUGUCUUAAAACGAGUCCUAAUCGUAUUGAAAGCGCUGUAAUCGCGCAUUUUUUUAUUAUACUAUACUAUUAUACUAUUAUACUAUUACAUUCUCUGCGGCUGACGAAGACUCGCGGAGCUCUUGAGCUGAACGUGGAGGAAAAAGUGGAACAGCCAGAAGUCGAUGCAAAAGAUGAAGAAGAAAUACACCAUGGAGAGAGAAAAAAUGGAACGCUUCUGGAGGGAAAGACUAGCAUUGACGGUCAAGGCACCCAUCGAACGAUUUAUGUCAAUUGUUCAACAGCGGGCGUAACGUGCCGCACAGUAAUGUGUGAUCUUAACAUGUCAAAAACAUCUGGAGAAGUAGAAAUUUCAAUUCUAGAUAUGAUAUUUGACCUACAGCCGUUACUUACAACCAACGGAUAUUCUUUCAUCAGCUUCAGCACCGACGCGCGAGCACUAAUCCUUGAACCGAUAUUAUUGGACACGAUGAAUGGUUCGCGCUUCGUAGAGGCUAAAGCGUCCACGGUACCUAAUCGACAAUUCGCCGGAGACUCAGACAUUGGCGGGUUUGGUCUUACCAGUUUCGUUAUGCGUUGGCCUUCUAUCAGUCGUCCUUAAUUCUGCUCAUCGUUAUGUUGAAAGUUGGUUUCUUCAACAGACCAAAGAAGGCCAUGAUCGCUUCGGUACAAAAAAUGACGUUGAAGUUGAAGGAGGACGACGGCUACGAAGAACUUAAUCUCCACGAGUAAUCGAAUAAAAUAUGUCGAGAUCUUUACGUAAAGACAUUACCUAUAAUUGUCAUAACGAAGUUCGUAUGUAUGUGUCUCGCGCAGUUUUCCACUGGCUGAUCACAAACGCCUACUACAUCUCUAAAUUGAGACUUCAUCAGUUUUUACAUUAUACAUAUUCGAUAUAAAUACGGAGUUCUAGAGAAACUAUGUAGAAGAAUAAUAAUAAAAUGUCUGACUAUCAUCG
RNAcentral lists this unclassified non-coding RNA (2045 nucleotides) under Neodiprion lecontei (redheaded pine sawfly). RNAcentral's name for it is "uncharacterized LOC124294682, transcript variant X3". Lineage: Eukaryota; Metazoa; Arthropoda; Insecta; Hymenoptera; Diprionidae. The record is from RNAcentral.